This 24-nucleotide unclassified non-coding RNA is filed under the name Arabidopsis thaliana (thale cress). Lineage: Eukaryota; Viridiplantae; Streptophyta; Magnoliopsida; Brassicales; Brassicaceae. The record is from RNAcentral.
ACUAUAAGCUAACGAAAAAGGCAA